AGGGAUGUAGCUCAAAGGUAGAGCACUUGCUCAGCAUGCACAAAGCCUUGGGUUCAAUCACCAGCACCAUUA
RNAcentral lists this transfer RNA (72 nucleotides) under Marmota monax (woodchuck). RNAcentral describes it as "tRNA.Ala". Lineage: Eukaryota; Metazoa; Chordata; Mammalia; Rodentia; Sciuridae. The record is from RNAcentral.